GUGUCCUGACAGCACAUAUGCUAAAAUUGGAACGAUGCAGAGGUGAUUACCAAGGACCCUGCACAAGGAUGACACACAUUCGUGAGACGUUUCCUAUAAAA
RNAcentral lists this small nuclear RNA (101 nucleotides) under Sorex araneus (European shrew). Lineage: Eukaryota; Metazoa; Chordata; Mammalia; Eulipotyphla; Soricidae. The record is from RNAcentral.